Molecule: ribosomal RNA, 253 nt
Filed under: uncultured bacterium
Lineage: Bacteria
Description: partial 16S ribosomal RNA
Rfam family: Bacterial small subunit ribosomal RNA
Source: RNAcentral
UACAGAGGGUGCGAGCGUUGUUCGGAAUUAUUGGGCGUAAAGGGCGCGUAGGCGGUGCGGUAAGUCACCUGUGAAAUCUCCUGGCUCAACUGGGAGCUUGCAGGCGAAACUGCCGUGCUGGAGUGUGGGAGAGGUGCGUGGAAUUCCUGGUGUAGCGGUGGAAUGCGUAGAGAUCCGGAAGAACACCGGUGGCGAAGGCGGCCUGCUGGGACAGUGCUGACGCUGAGGCGCGACAGCGUGGGGAGCAAACAGG